UGGUAUAUAAAUGCCACUGAUCGCCUGAUCCUUGCUUUACCUAUGUUUUUUUUAUAAUCAAGAUGAGCAAAGUUUCAGGUGUGUUUGUGGUCGUUUUUAUUUCU
This is a microRNA precursor of Pediculus humanus corporis (human body louse), 104 nucleotides long. The record is from RefSeq and is a predicted model, not a curated record. Lineage: Eukaryota; Metazoa; Arthropoda; Insecta; Psocodea; Pediculidae.